UAUAUAUAUAUAUAUAUAUGUAUGUAUAUAAGUUAUAUGUAUAUAAGUUCUCAUAUACAUAUACGCAGACAUGUGUGUAUAUACUGCUUUAAAAAAUAAACAGAAUGGAUUUAAUAAAAAUAUAUAAGCGGAAUGAAAUAAUAAAUGAUUACGUAAAUAUAUAUUUUGAUGAAGACGGUGAUGAUGAUAAUAAUAAUAAUAAAAUAAAACAGAAUAAUGAAAAAAUUGAAAAAAAUGUCAGUUAUAAAAUUUUACAUAUAAUUGGCAAUGGUGUUUAUGGUGUAGUUUAUAAAGCUGAUUGUUUAGAUAAUAGUAGUGUUGUAGCACUUAAACAGACUUAUCAAAAAAGUGCUAAAUUUUUUAAAGAAAUAGAAAUAAUGAAGAGACUAAAACAUCCUAAUAUUGUUAAAUUAAAACAUGCUUUUUAUACACAUAGUUCCGAUGGUGGUUUUUUUGUUCAUCUAGUUAUGGAGUAUGGUAAUACAGAUUUGGCAACUGCUUUAUAUUAUGUUACUUUUAAAAAUAAUGCUGAGUUUUUUAAUAAAAAUCAAGGUAAUAAUAAUAAUAAUAAUAAUAAUAAUAAUAAUAUGGUUAUAGAUAAUGUUAACAACGAUAGUUCUAACUUAAUAAAAAAAGAAAAAAAACAACAUGAACAAAAUGAACAAAAUGGUACUAAUAGUACAAAAGAUAUGACUUGUUCAGAUAAAACAAUUAAUACAAAUAACAAAAUUAACACAAAUAGUACAAAAUAUAUGACUUGUUCAGAUAAAAAAUUUAUAAAAAAUAGUGAUUAUAUCAGUUUAUCACAUGAUAAUGAUAUAAACAUAUCUAAUACGAGUAAAAAUAUUAACGAAAAUAAUGAACGUAGUAAUACAAACAUAAACAAAUAUAAUAAUUUAAUUAGUAAUUUUAAUAUAGACGCUUUACAAAAUAAUAUACAUAAUAUAUGUCCUUGUCAUAAUGUUAGUGAAUAUAUUAAACAUAUUUUUUUAAGUGAAAAUCAAAUAAAAAUAUAUUUAUAUCAAUUAAUUAGAGCAACUUUAUAUUUACACAGUUUACGUAUUACUCAUAGAGACAUAAAACCACAAAAUAUUUUAAUUUUUAUGAAUGAAAACAAUACUAAUAAUUAUGAUAAUAAUACUAGUAAUUGUAACAUAAAUAAUAAUGAAAGUACUAAUUAUAACAACAUGUAUACAGAUAAAAAAAUUAAUAAUAAUAAGAAGUGUGUAGUUUGUAUACACAAUUCUUUUAAAUUCCAAUGUAUUGUUAAUAAAAUAUAUAUGAAUAACAAUAAAAAAGUACUAAAUGGAAAAAAAUCGAACUUAAAUAUGAUAAAAAAAGAAGGUGAUAGUGGUACAGAUAUAAAAGUAAACAUCGAUAAAAAUGAGCACUAUAAUGUAGAAGAAAAUGUAAAAGUAAAUGCAAAAGUAAAUGUAAAAGUAAAUGUAAAAGAAAAUGCAAAAGAAAAUGCAAAAGAAAAUGCAAAAGAAAAUGCAAAAAUAAAUGCAAAAGAAAAUGCAAAAAUAAAUGCAAAAGAAAAUGCAAAAAUAAAUGCAAAAGAAAAUGCAAAAAUAAAUGCAAAAGAAAAUGCAAAAAUAAAUACAAAAGAAAAUACAAAAGAAAAUGCAAAAAUAAAUAAUAAUAAUGCAGAGACAAAAGAAAACUACCACUAUAAUGUUGAAAAGAAAAAUAAUAAUAACGAGAGUAAUAUAGAAAAUGUACAUAAAAAAAAAAGUACUGAAAUAAUAAAAAAUAUAAUUUUUAUAAAAGAAAAUAUUUUGAAUAAAAACAACCAUUAUAUAGAUAAUAAAAAAAACAUAAAACAUAAUAAUUUGAUUUAUUGCCAUAGUAAAACUACUCCUACACCUUUAAAAAGUAAACGAAAUGUAAUAAAUAGAAGUUCUGUACGAUUUAAGAGAUCUAUGAGUGUAAGUAGUAUAAUAAAUAAAAAUAAAUUAAAUUAUAUGUACAGUAAUAAUAAUAAUGUCUAUGAUAAUAAUUUUGUACAUGUCUCUAAAAAAAACUUAAAAAAAGAAUUAAGAAAAAAUAAAACAGAUUCAGUUUUUACUCAUAUGUAUAAAAACUUCACAAGAGUACAUGGGAAGGGAGAUAUGGUACAACUAAUGGAUAAUAUACUUACAGAUACUACUAAUCACACAUAUAAUGAUUAUAUAACAGAAACAAAAACAAAUGUAGAUAAAAAAAAAGAAAAUAAUAUUAAUAACAUUGAAGGGGUACCAAUUAAUAGUAAGGUAUCACAUCACUUAGGUACAAAUGUUCAGUUAGAAAAUUCAAGCGACUUAAACAAUUUAAAAAAAAACGAACUAGACCAGUUAGACCAGAGUGAAUUAGAACAAUUAGAUCAGAAUGAAUUAGAAAAACUAUACCAAAACAGUAAUAUGUAUAAGUAUAUAAAACUAUGUGACUUUAACACAUCUAUAAAAUUGAAAGAGAAUUAUAAAUAUAUCAGUUAUGUAUGUUCGAGAUAUUAUAGGGCACCAGAGUUAUUGUUUGGGUCGAAUUACUACAGUCAAGCCAUUGACACAUGGUCCAUAGGUAAUAAAAUAAAACAGAGUCGAAAUAUAGAAACACUUUGCUU
Piliocolobus tephrosceles (Ugandan red Colobus) is the source of this 2599-nucleotide long non-coding RNA. NCBI's taxonomy places the organism in Eukaryota, Metazoa, Chordata, Mammalia, Primates, Cercopithecidae. The record is from Ensembl.